RNAcentral lists this ribosomal RNA (889 nucleotides) under Monascus floridanus. RNAcentral's name for it is "partial large subunit ribosomal RNA". It matches the Rfam family "Eukaryotic large subunit ribosomal RNA", at positions 58 to 962 of the family's 3401-position model. The record is from RNAcentral. Lineage: Eukaryota; Fungi; Ascomycota; Eurotiomycetes; Eurotiales; Aspergillaceae.
AAAGAAACCAACCGGGAUUGCCUCAGUAACGGCGAGUGAAGCGGCAAGAGCUCAAAUUUGAAAGCUGGCCCCCAGCGGGGUCCGCAUUGUAAUUUGCAGAGGAUGCUUCGGGCACGGCCCCCGUCUAAGUGCCCUGGAACGGGCUGUCGGAGAGGGUGAGAAUCCCGUCUGGGACGGGGUGUCCGGGUCCGUGUGAAGCUCCUUCGACGAGUCGAGUUGUUUGGGAAUGCAGCUCUAAAUGGGUGGUAAAUUUCAUCUAAAGCUAAAUACUGGCCGGAGACCGAUAGCGCACAAGUAGAGUGAUCGAAAGAUGAAAAGCACUUUGAAAAGAGAGUUAAACAGCACGUGAAAUUGUUGAAAGGGAAGCGCUUGCGAUCAGACUCGCCCGCAGGGUUCAGCCGGCACUCGUGCCGGUGUACUUCCCUGCGGGCGGGCCAGCGUCAGUUCGGGUGGCCGGUCAAAGGCCCCGGGAAUGUGUCGCCCUCCGGGGCGUCUUAUAGCCCGGGGUGCCAUGCGGCCCGCCUGGACUGAGGAACGCGCUUCGGCACGGACGCUGGCGUAAUGGUCGUAAGCGACCCGUCUUGAAACACGGACCAAGGAGUCUAACAUCUACGCGAGUGUUUGGGUGGCAAACCCAUGCGCGCAGUGAAAGCGAACGGAGGUGGGAACCCCGUCCGGGGCGCACCAUCGACCGAUCCUGAUGUCUUCGGAUGGAUUUGAGUACGAGCGUAGCUGUGGGGACCCGAAAGAUGGUGAACUAUGCCUGAAUAGGGCGAAGCCAGAGGAAACUCUGGUGGAGGCUCGCAGCGGUUCUGACGUGCAAAUCGAUCGUCAAAUUUGGGUAUAGGGGCGAAAGACUAAUCGAACCAUCUGGUAGCUGGUUCCUGCC